This 463-nucleotide ribosomal RNA is filed under the name uncultured bacterium. RNAcentral's name for it is "partial 16S ribosomal RNA". It matches the Rfam family "Bacterial small subunit ribosomal RNA", at positions 28 to 507 of the family's 1533-position model. The record is from RNAcentral.
GAUGAACGCUGACAGAAUGCUUAACACAUGCAAGUCUUUGGCGAAUCUGUGCUUGCACAGGCUAGCCAAGGCGGACGGGUGAGUAACGCGUAAAGAACUUGCCCUGCAGACAGGGAUAACAGACGGAAACGACUGAUAACACCUGAUACAGUUGCCGGCACGCAUGUGCCUGGCAAUGAAAAGAGAUGCUGCAGGAGAGCUUUGCGUCCUAUUAGCUUGUUGGUGAGGUGACGGCUCACCAAGGCGAUGAUAGGUAGCCGGCCUGAGAGGGUGAACGGCCACAAGGGGACUGAGAUACGGCCCUUACGCCUACGGGAGGCAGCAGUGGGGAAUAUUGGACGAUGGGGGCAACCCUGAUCCAGCAAUUCUGUGUUCACGAAGAAGGUUUUCGGAUUGUAAAGUGCUUUCAGCAGGGAAGAAGAAAGUGACGGUACCUGCAGAAGAAGCGACGGCUAAAUACGUG